Molecule: long non-coding RNA, 2532 nt
Organism: Macaca mulatta (Rhesus monkey)
Lineage: Eukaryota; Metazoa; Chordata; Mammalia; Primates; Cercopithecidae
Source: Ensembl
ACCUCAUAUAUGUUAUAUAUGAAGUAUAUAAUAAUAUAUAACACCUUAAUAAUUAUACUUUAUAACAUUUUUGCUAAUCCAAAGGCAAUUUAUCUCAAAACUUAGAGUUUACUAACUUAAUAUAAGUGGGAGUGGAGGAGAGUAAAUUUUGACAAAAAAUGGAGCAGCAAAAAGUUCUUUUCAAAUGUUUGAUUAUUGUUUCACAGAAUAUAAUUGUAGUUUCUUAAAAUAUUAGUUUUUCAUCUGUUUCAUAUUUCUCAGAAAUAACCCUUAGAUGUUAAGGCUCCUCUGCAGGAAUCGCGUGAAUAUGAAUGAGUGCAGAAAAGCUGGAGAGAAGAGGUCGAUAAAUGUUUAAAUUAACUAACUUGAUUUUAAACUAUCCGAUAAAUAUUUCUCUUAGAAAUUUAGGCAUAUUUUGAUCAGUUUUGUUUCUAUUGUUUUCUUUUCUUGAUCCGCUUCUCAGCUGUGGCUGCGAUCUCUGGCAUCUCCACAGCAUUGAUGAAAAAACUCUUAAAAUGAUUUGUGUCUUCUGUCUUGUGUGGUGUUCUCUCUUCUCUCUCAAUUUAAAAUAUCAAAAUUGCUUAACAUCUUUCUAGGAAGCAGGUAACAUAAUGGUGAGUUUACAAUCUUCCUCUUGUUCCUUUGUGUAUAGGGGUCAAUUUUAUGUUGGUAAUAUGGUGAAUGAUCAAGCUCCAAUAUUAAACUUUGGAGAAAAGAAAUAUCCUACAUUGUGGAAGUUUGAAUUAAAAGAUCUCUUUCAAGUGCAGUUGAGAAUUUAGCCAUCACUCUAUCAUUCAGAGAUAAAUUAAAAUUCAGUGUGCUAGUGUAUAUGCAUGUUUUACAUCAAAGGCAAUGAUACCAAGAAUGCAUACUUAACCCUCUGCCGUGAGGAGUUUGAAUUGGAAAAUUUUAAUCCAGGUUAUAAAUCACUUGAGAGACUUUUAAACUAGCCACAAGGGGGCAGCAAAACACACAGGAUUCCCUGAACCCACUGACGCAGGAACAUUCCGCCGUGUCUUAUGAAGAAGGCAAACGAAAGAACGAAUUCAAGUACCUGGCGUUUGAGCCGUCUUCGAACACUGGCAUUUCUAGUACAACUACAUCAGGCGAAGGAGAAGUAAUAUUCCACGAACGUCUGAGGUUGGCUGGCCAGCAGAGUUUGGAUGGUCGAACACAGUUUUUGGCUCUGCCUUUGAUGGGUAAGUGUGUAGGACCCAUGUUGUUGCUUCUACUUAGCCUUAGAGGAAAACAUCUUAACUACAGUAUUGAGGGAACUAUGUUUCCAUCAGGAGACACUUGCAUUUAUUCCAUAGGACAGUUAGGUUAUGUUAAUAUUUUCUGACUUUCCUCUCCUUUCUGUAAGGGUAAAGGAAAAAUAAUUUUUAACCUAUGUUUUAGACUUCAGUGAGAACCCUCUCCUAUAUUCACACUUUCAUUACUUUUCAGUAGAUUCACAGAAACAUCUAUGUAGACUUAACAGUUUGGCCAUUAGCUUAUGGUAAAGCUUAGGACAUAUUCUUCCUUGCCUAAGUGUGAGUAUUAAUUUAUGAUUUAAAUGACUGUGUUGCCUUUUUGUUUUGUGACUGAGACAGGGCUGAUACUGGUUAUGGGAUGUGUGUAUCAUCCCAGCUCCCAUAAAAGGGGCUGAUUUGCCUAUUAAAAUCAUUAAAGGAAUAAAACCUAUUAGGGGAAAUAAUGAUUAGGUCACAACAUCCAUGAUAAAUAGAGAACUGGCUAGUUAAAAUGACCGAGUUAAAAAUGUUAAUUUUGUUCAUGGGUUUUAAUGUUUUAUAUUCCUGUUUAGCAGGAAGGGAGAAUUUAUUUAGGACUGAAUGGAAGCUAUUACAGGUGGUAUUAUUAUUAUAGAGUAACCCAUGAAGAAGGAUAUUUUGUUUAAGCCUUCAAUAUCAUACAAUAAAUAUUAAGUAUUUCAUAAACAAUAAAAAUAAUCUUUUCUCUGUUGACUUUGGUUACUGAUACUAUUUGAAAUAGAAUAAUGAGUUCAGUUCAGGAUAUCUGAGAGCAAAGAUUACAAGGGAAAAUUGCUGAAGAUAAACCCCCCCUCCUGCAAUCUCUAAGGGCAGAGUUUAUCUUGUCUGGUCUAACUCAUGUGGGAAUUUCAAACAUCUGAAAAAGUUCUAUUUGGAGUGAAUGAUUGGCCUUGAAUUUUGACCUCUAUAACAGAGAUAACUUGGAUUUUUUGGGAAAUUUGAUGAUGAUGUAUAGUGAAUUUUCUUAUCUGGGAAAGAUGAGUUUUUGAAGUGUUGUUAUGGAAUGGGUCUUUCUGGAAGAGUCUAGUUUUGACUCAAGCUAGCUUCCCAAAUGCUGCUUGAAAUCAUAAUAUCUUGGAGAAUGCUUGUACUGCUCUUAAGUGGGCAGGGAAUCUUUGUUUAUUCCCUGGCAGCGAUGUAUGGCAUUUCCAGUUACUCAGGCUUAGGGAAUAGAGCAGUCUUCUCCCGCAGGACUCAACUCUGCACCCUACAAAAGAAUUGGCCUCGUUAGGGUACUUUUGAUUUGUUGUGCUAGUUUAAG